This 430-nucleotide unclassified non-coding RNA is filed under the name Cardiobacterium hominis. Its description in RNAcentral is "partial 16S-23S ribosomal intergenic spacer". The record is from RNAcentral. Lineage: Bacteria; Pseudomonadati; Pseudomonadota; Gammaproteobacteria; Cardiobacteriales; Cardiobacteriaceae.
CCCCUGAUAAGGGUGAGGUCAAAGUUCAAUUUUUCAGACCCCCCAAAAAGGGCCAUAGCUCAGCUGGAGAGCGCCUGCUUUUGCACGCAGAGUCAGAGUUCGAUCCUCCUGGGCUCCCCAUUUGAAACGUAGUUUGCUAAAGAGAGCAGAAAAUUGAACAUGAAGCUAAAGCUGAUGUAAGAACACAGAUGGAGCACAUGGUGUUCAAUUUUUUGUUGUCUUAGGACAAUGAUCUAUAACAACCGGAAACAUUCAAUUUAAACAACUAAAUUGAGUAGCUGAGAAAAACAAGACGUUGUUACUUAUGUUUUCCUCUGCGUAGCCAACAGAUGAUGAGAGAGCAAGGCGAAAGCGAAGCAUACUUCAGAAUCUGAAAACGUAGAGUAGUAAAGAGAGAACAGCACAACCGAAAGAUAACUUGAGGUUGUAU